GGGGCUGAUUCUGGAUUCGACGGGAUUUGCGAAACCCAAGGUGCAUGCCGAGGGGCGGUUGGCCUCGUAAAAAGCCGCAAAAAAAUAGUCGCAAACGACGAAAACUACGCUUUAGCAGCUUAAUAACCUGCUUAGAGCCCUCUCUCCCUAGCCUCCGCUCUUAGGACGGGGAUCAAGAGAGGUCAAACCCAAAAGAGAUCGCGCGGAUGCCCGGCCUGGGGUUGAAGCGUUAAAACGAAUCAGGCUAGUCUGGUAGUGGCGUGUCCGUCCGCAGGUGCCAGGCGAAUGUAAAGACAGACUAAGCAUGUAGUACCGAGGAUGUAGGAAUUUCGGACGCGGGUUCAACUCCCGCCAGCUCCACCA
Molecule: transfer-messenger RNA, 363 nt
Filed under: Salmonella enterica
Lineage: Bacteria; Pseudomonadati; Pseudomonadota; Gammaproteobacteria; Enterobacterales; Enterobacteriaceae
Also listed under: 1 other name
Description: Standard tmRNA
Rfam family: transfer-messenger RNA
About the family: Bacterial tmRNA, also known as 10Sa RNA or SsrA, is named for its dual tRNA and mRNA-like properties.
Source: RNAcentral